UGGGGGUUGUAUGAUGGAAUAACUGGUGUAUUACAGUAGCUGUAGGCAGAGAGCUCCGGGUUUCUUCAUUUUCAAGAUAAUCAGGCUGGAUGCAGAUAGAGCUUACCAGAUGGGAUGUCGGUGGCAUUAAUAGUGAGAUGAGCAAAAGGCUGAGCUUCAAGCUUGCUCCUCUUGGCCAGAUCUAACCAUGAGCCAUCCACCAUCGCUGGAGAUGAGAGAAACCAUAUUAUUAUAGCCAAAAUAGUAGUGACCCUGUGGGAUUUCAUACAGAUGUAUGGAUCCAUGCUUACCUUUCUCUGCUCUGAUGUGCUGUGAUCCAACGAUAUGUUGUAAUUCCUGAAAUAAAAAGGAAAAAUAAUUUUA
Long non-coding RNA from Homo sapiens (human), 363 nucleotides. RefSeq lists it as uncharacterized. NCBI's taxonomy places the organism in Eukaryota, Metazoa, Chordata, Mammalia, Primates, Hominidae. The record is from RefSeq and is a predicted model, not a curated record. The transcript is spliced from 2 exons.